Molecule: unclassified non-coding RNA, 371 nt
Filed under: plant metagenome
Description: partial contains 5.8S ribosomal RNA, internal transcribed spacer 2, and large subunit ribosomal RNA
Source: RNAcentral
AGCCAGCCCUAUUACAACGCGAUGAACCGCAUGCCCGAGGUCGAGCACUUUCCGGCCUGCGGCUACUACGGCCUCGGCAUCGUGCCCUAUAGCCCCCUGGCGCGCGGCGUGCUCACCGGAAAGUACAAGCCGGACGCCGCGCCCGACAAGGACACCCGCGCUGGCCGCGCCGACAAGCGCAUGAUGCAGACCGAAUGGCGGCCGGAGUCGCUGAAGCUGGCGCAGGAGAUCAAGCGCCACGCCGAGAGCAAGGGCAUCACCGCCGGUCAGUUUGCGGUCGCCUGGGUGCUCAAUUCCAGCUUCGUCACCGGCGUGAUCGCCGGCCCGCGCACGGAAGAGCAAUGGGACGAUUACAUCCGGGCACUCGACGA